UGGGGAAUAUUGCACAAUGGAGGAAACUCUGAUGCAGCAACGCCGCGUGAAGGAUGAAGGUCUUCGGAUUGUAAACUUCUUUUAUCGGGGAAGAAUAAUGACGGUACCCGAGGAAUAAGCCACGGCUAACUACGUGCCAGCAGCCGCGGUAAUACGUAGGUGGCGAGCGUUGUCCGGAAUUACUGGGUGUAAAGGGCGAGUAGGCGGGAACGAAAGUCAGAUGUGAAAUGCAAAGGCUCAACCUUUGAACUGCAUUUGAAACUUCGUUUCUUGAGUGAUGGAGAGGCAGGCGGAAUUCCCGGUGUAGCGGUGGAAUGCGUAGAUAUCGGGAGGAACACCAGUGGCGAAGGCGGCCUGCUGGACAUUAACUGACGCUGAGGAGCGAAAGCGUGGGGAGCAAACA
The sequence is a ribosomal RNA, 403 nucleotides long. It matches the Rfam family "Bacterial small subunit ribosomal RNA", at positions 355 to 774 of the family's 1533-position model.